RNAcentral lists this ribosomal RNA (2316 nucleotides) under Triticum aestivum (bread wheat). RNAcentral's name for it is "partial small subunit ribosomal RNA". Lineage: Eukaryota; Viridiplantae; Streptophyta; Magnoliopsida; Poales; Poaceae. The record is from RNAcentral.
AUGGGCAUAGCCUCAGCAGCGGCAGUGCUCGUGCUAGCGAUCGUGGCCGCAGCCGCGGCCACGGCAGAGACUACAGCGCCGCCGAUAGGGCUGACCGGCUGCGCCACCAGCUGCGGGGACGUGAGCGUGCCGUACCCCUUCGGCUUCGGACCGCCGCGCUGCCACUGGCCGGGGCUCAACCUCACCUGCGACACGAGCGGCCCGCAGCCCCCGAGGCUGCUCCUCGGCGACGGCGCGCUCCGGGUCGCCGCGAUCUCCCUCCGGAACGCCACCGUCCGCGUGGUGCGCGCGGGCUCCAUCAUCGACAGCGCCAGCGUCACCUCCGACCGCAACGUCUCCUUCGGCGGCGGCUUCGUGGACGCCGGGUACAUGCUGUCCAACGGCAACGAGCUCGUGCUCUCCGGGUGCAACCUGCUGGCGACGCUGGUGGAGGACCUCGGCGUGGGGCCCGGCAGGUCCGGCAUCAUCAGCGGCUGCGCCUCCUUCUGCUCCUUCCGCAACAAGAAGGUGGACAGCGUCGGCCAGCUGGCCGGCAAGUACUGCUCCGGCAUGGCGUGCUGCCAGGCGCCCAUCAACUACCACAGCUCGCCCACCGGGGUGCACCUCCGGUGGCUGGACGCCGGGAACCACAGCGAGGCGCUGACGUUCCUGCCCACCUACGUGUUCGUGGCGGAGGAGGGGUGGUUCGACCGGAGGCCGCUGGCCGACGAGCUGCUGAGCGUGAAGCAGGGCCCGUCGAAGGCGGCGCUGGAGGUUCCCUUUGUCCUCCUGUGGGGCGUCAAGCAGGGCCUCCCACCGCUGCCGAGCUUGACGGCCAACACGUCCACCGCUUGCUCCGACGAGGCGCACCGCAGGCUCUGCAAGAGCGACCACAGCGUGUGCGCGGUCGGAAACCUUGGUUAUACGUGCCAGUGUCAAGGCGGCUACGACGGCAACCCCUACCUCACCCAAGGGUGCCAAGAUGUCAAUGAAUGUGAGCAGCCACAUGACUAUGGGUGCUUCGGCAAAUGCAUCAACACAAUUGGUGGGUACAAAUGUCAGUGCCCACAAGGAACCCACGGCAACUACACCAUCAAGGAUGGUUGCAUCAAGUCUGCGGCUACAGGAACAAGCAUCGGUAUAGGAGUUGGCAGUGCAGUAGGCUUUAUGCUUUUGGUCCUCGCGACAAUCUUCGUGGUCCAAAGGUUUAAACAUAAGAGACAGAUACUUUUGAAACAAAAGUUUUUCAAGCAAAAUCGUGGACAGUUGUUGCAACAAUUAGUGUCCCCAAGGAUAGACAUCGCAGAAAGGAUGAUCAUUCCAAUAGAUGAACUUGCAAAGGCAACAAAUAACUUUGACAAAGCACGUGAGCUUGGGGGUGGAGGCCAUGGUACAGUCUACAAAGGGAUCUUAUCGGACCUACAUGUUGUGGCCAUCAAGAAGUCAAAGAUCACUGUCCAGAAAGAGAUAGACGAAUUCAUAAAUGAGGUAGCCAUCCUCUCACAGAUCAAUCACAGGAAUGUAGUGAAGCUUAUUGGAUGUUGCCUAGAGACAGAGGUACCAUUGUUGGUUUAUGAGUUUGUUUCUAAUGGAACCCUCUAUGACCACCUCCAUGUUGAAAGGCCAAAAUCCCUUUCAUGGGUAACUAGGUUCAGGAUUGCAACUGAAAUUGCGAGUGCUCUUGCCUAUCUUCACUCCUCAGUUUCAAUCCCAAUUAUUCAUAGAGAUAUCAAGUCUAGUAACAUACUUCUGAAUGAAUCUAUGACAUCGAAGGUGUCAGACUUUGGAGCUUCAAGAUACAUUCCGACGGAUAAAACGGGAUUAACAACAAUGGUUCAAGGAACAAUUGGAUACUUGGAUCCUAUGUACUUCUACACAGGCCGCCUCACAGAGAAAAGUGAUGUGUAUAGCUUCGGUGUCAUUCUCAUCGAACUGCUAACAAGGAAGAAACCAUUUUCGUAUUUCUUCCUUGAUGGAGAUGGCCUUGUUUCUCAUUUUGUCAAGCUGCUUGCUGAUCAAAUGUUGGUCCAAAUACUAGAUCCGCAGGUCAUAGAGGAGGGAGGCAAAGAAGUUCAUCAACUCUCCAUACUUGCAGCAUCAUGUAUAAAGUUAAAUGCUGAGGACCGGCCUACAAUGCGACAGGUGGAACAUACACUCGAAGGCCUCAUUGUAUCCAAGAAAUUUAUCCAAAACAAUGUGGAAGUUGAGAAAAUCUUAGAGAAUGGCAUUACUAUGAUGAAUUGCUCGUUGAAAGAAGGCAGAAAAAGCCCGCCAGAAUGCAGCAGAAGAUAUAGCAUGGAAGAAGAAAUAUUGAUGUCUGCAAGGUACCCUCGGUAG